Molecule: ribosomal RNA, 369 nt
Filed under: uncultured bacterium
Lineage: Bacteria
Description: bacterial SSU rRNA
Rfam family: Bacterial small subunit ribosomal RNA
Source: RNAcentral
AGCGAACGCUGGCGGCAUGCUUAACACAUGCAAGUCGCACGGUCAGCAAUGGCAGUGGCGGACGGGUGAGUAACGCGUAGGUAUCUAUCUCUGGGUGGGGGACAACCGUGGGAAACUACGGCUAAUACCGCAUGAAGCCCGAGGGCCAAAGCAGCAAUGCGCCUGGAGAGGAGCCUGCGUACGAUUAGCUUGUUGGUGAGGUAAUGGCUCACCAAGGCGACGAUCGUUAGCUGGUCUGAGAGGAUGAUCAGCCACACUGGGACUGAGACACGGCCCAGACUCCGUACGGGAGGCAGCAGUGGGGAAUAUUGGACAAUGGGCGCAAGCCUGAUCCAGCAAUGCCGCGUGAGUGAAGAAGGUCUUCGGAUU